RNA transcript from Crotalus tigris (Tiger rattlesnake), 5161 nucleotides. It is a transcript of the gene named cystatin-1-like, with no coding region annotated. The transcript is spliced from 3 exons. NCBI's taxonomy places the organism in Eukaryota, Metazoa, Chordata, Lepidosauria, Squamata, Viperidae. The record is from RefSeq and is a predicted model, not a curated record.
AGGAAGGAAGGAAGGAAGGAAGGAGAGAUAGGUUGGAAGGGGAUGAUAUGUUGACAACAACACAUAGGUAUUUCUACCCUCAGGGCUGGGCGAUAGGACACAAUUAAUGUUCUGGGCAAGAUCUGUAUAAUUUGUACAUAUUUUAAUCCUUAUGACCAUUCUUCACCCUUAUGGCUGUUGCAGCCUGCCCAUGCUCACGUGAUGCUUGACAACCGACUCGUACCUAUGACGGUUGCAGAGUCCCGGGGUCAUGUGAUCCAUUUUGUGACCUUCUGACAUGCCAAGUCAAUGGGGGAAGCCAGAUUCGCUUAUCAACGGGUUACUCAACAACUGGAGUGAUUGGCUUAACAACUGUGGCAAGACAGGUUGUAAAAUGAGGCAAAACUCACUUAACAGGUCUCACUUAACGACAUAAAUUUUGAGCUCAGUUGUGGUCGUAAGUCGAGGACUACCUGUAUUCAAAGUGUGGAGUUAUCGAGGCGUUAUAAAGUAGUAUUUCCACUUCACCUGUCCUUGAUUCUAUCCCGCCAUUAAUGCAUUUUAAGAACAGAAUAACAGAGUUGGAAGGGACCUUGGAGGUCAUCGAGUCCAACCCACUAUUCAAGCCGGAGAACCUAUUCCAUUCUGAACAAAUGGCUGUCCAAUCACAUCUUAAAAUCCUUUUAAAAAUGAUCAGAAAAGCGAAGAUCACUCAAACCCUCAUAUCACUGGAAUAUGAGCCAGCAGAGUGCUGCAGCCCUGCAGAUUUUAUUCCGCUAGUCGCUACUGACUACCUAGAUUAGCCAAACCCAAAUCCUGCAACCGUUCUUCACGUUUUUUGUCUGCAGGCCUUUGAGUUGCUCUUCUCUGCACUUUUUCCAAAAUCUCAACAACCUUUUUGUAACGUGGUGACCAAAACUGGAUGCCACAUUCUCCAGAAGCCCCCCAGUCCUCCUUGUUGCUCUUCGCUUGAGCAGUAACUCAUUGCCCACUUCCGCGACGUCAGCCUAACCUCAGCUGGGAAGAGGGGGAACCCAGGGGACGGGGAGGCGGUGAGCACCUGGGCAGGGGAGAUGGACCAGCCACAGGGGCGGGGCUUCUGGAGAAUGGGUGUGGCCUCUGCACAGGUAAGAUCCCUUGCCACCUGAGGCUCUGGCAGACUGUUCGGUCCAGGCUGACUGUUGGGAUUGCUUGCUUUGCGUCCGUGCCUGCCAGACUCUCUCUCUCUCUCUCUCAAGCCCCAUGAUGCACUCCCAGAUGCCAGUCCCCUCCCUUCUCUGCGCCCUCCUGAUGCUGCCUCUGGGGAUGCUCCAGGAUUAUCCCGACGUGCCCCUCACAGAUUUGGUGGUGCAGAUGAGCACGGCCUUUGCCGUGCAGCAAUACAACAAGGACCGUUAUGACAGUACCAACUAUUUUAAGGAGCUGCGCCUUCUGAAGGCACAAUCACCGGUGGAUUCUCCGUUCGAAUACCAUCUUACUGUCGUGUUGGUGAAAACUGCAUGUAAAAAGAGGGCCGAUAAGAUAAAGUCGUAUAAGAAGAUCCAGCAAUGUAAGGCACUUAGAGGGAAUCAUCGGCAGGUGAGUUGAGAUGCCAGGUUCCGAUCAUAUAUUUGCGGUUUCAUUGAUAAAACCUGCCUGAUCUGAGCUCAGCAGCCCCCCCCCCCGUAAAGCGUAUUUCAAUUAUUUUCAUAGGUGAUUUCAAUUCAAAAUGAUGGUGUUUGCUAUAUGAGGGGCUGCCCCAAAGAAGACGGGGGUGUGUGUGUCACCCAUUCUCCAAAGCAACUGCACACAGGAGAAGAAACAACGGAUGGAAACUCAUCAAAGAGAGAAGCAACCUGGAAUUAAGGAGAAAUUUCCUGACAGUGGGGACAAUUAACCAGUGGAACUACCUGCCUCCAGAAGUUGUGGGUGCUCCAUCAUUGGAGGCUUUUAAGAAGAGAUUGGAUAAUUGAUUAACCUGUCACCAGGUCGUUUGUCAAGCACGUUGUUGUAAAAAUUAAAAAAUCAAUAAAACUUGGUUUUUUUUAUAAAAAAGAAGAAGAGAUUGGACAAACGUUUGUCUAGAAUGGUUCAGGGUCUCCUGCUUGAACAGGGGGUUGGACUAGAAGACCUCAAGGGUCCCUUCCAACUCUCUUUUUCUUUUCAUUCCCUUCCAGAUAACCUGCGCAUUUAAAGUCACAUUUCGUGAUCUGGUGAAUAUGAAGUUGGAAGUCACAGUCUGUAACUAAUCUGGACCUCCGAAGGACCCCUUAUGCGCAGGCGAAGGAUUCUGUGGGUGUCCAGCAGCCGAGCGAGUUCCGGUAUGCAAGCUGUGUUCAUGGUAAACUUUGCUUCUUCUGACACAAAUCGGGAAUGGAAUAGUUUGCUUAAGCCCAAAAUUCACAUUUUCUAAGUUUCUGAAAUUGUUCUUUGACAUACACGGAGGCCUUUUCUGGCGCUUCUGUUUUCUCUAAUUUUCAUCUUUGAGAAGAAUCGACAUUUUGCUAAUUCAGUCGAUUAGUCUUAAUAAAGCGAUCAUCAUGACGUUCCGUCUUGUCUUCCUUUCUUGUCCAAAUCCCAUCCAGCCUUUCCGUUUUCACGGCGACAGCACAAUGACACCACGGCUUGUUCAAGAAAACCUCCAGCCAUUUGGGGUACUUUUCAAACUUCUGGAAACUUUGAUCCGUUUGAUAGUUUUCAAGAAGCGCAAUUAAGAUUUUUAACAGAACGAACACUGCUUCUUUCCCAAACUCUACUCCAAUUGGCAUAUUAUGCCAGUGAACAUGCCUAGCCCCUUGGGGAUAUAAAAUACGAGAGGGAGGGAGGGAGGAAAGGAUAGGUUGAAAGGAAGUGGGGAGGAAAGGGAGAAAGAAAGAAAGAAAGAAAGAAAGAAAGAAAGAAAGAAAGAAAGAAAGAAAGAGAGAGAUAUAGGUUGAAAAGGAGGGAGGGAGGGAGGGAGGGAGGAAGGAAGGAAGGGAAUAUACCUUACCAGUUGGGGAUAAUCACCAGGAGAACUUCAGGGAUAUAGAAUAUUAGAGGGAGGGAGGGAGGGAGGAGGGAGAUAUAGGUUGAAAGAAAGUGGGGAAGGAGGGAGGGAAGAAAGGAAAUGAAUCUUCCUUGCCAAUUGGGGAUAAUUACUAGGGGACUAUUAAUGAUAUGGAAUGGGAGAGGGAGGGAGGCAGAGGAGGGAGGGAGGAAAGGAGGGAAGGACAUAUAGGUUGAAAAGGAGAGAGGGACGGAGGGAAGGGAGGGAGAGAGGGAGGGAGGGAAGGAGGGAGUAUUCUUUGCCAGUUGGGGAUAAUUGUGGUUGUAAAUCAAGGAUUACCUGUAUGUGGACACAUCUAUCAAUGAGGCUUGACGUAAGAUGGGCGAGAUAUAAAUUUAACAAAUCAAUGAAAUUGGAGACUCCCAUAUUGUUCACGUAGACGAACAGCUCGUCUCUUUAUCAGGAUCUUUGACCACACACACACACACACACACACACACACACACACACACACACACACACACGAUUGUUUGUUCCUGUCAGAAGCAUCAGAAUUAAAAUAAGGCGUACUGCCUGACGUAACAUUUAAGCAGAAGAUUAAAAUAUGUAGAAAUUAAACAGAUCUUGACCCAGAACAUUGUGUUCUGCCUUGCUGCUCCGCCGUCCUGACGCGUACAUAGAUCGGAGCGCAAAGGGCAGACAUUUCAUGACCCAACUAGGCAACAUCAUCCACGCUACAAAGGAGUGGGCUUUGUUCUCUCUUUAUAUGCUGUAUAAUGAGGGCAGUGCGUGGCUCAGCAGUUAAGACAUUGGCUUGUCGGCUGGCUAUCUGAUUGCCCAGGUUCAAGACCCGAGCACCCCAGGAUGGGCUGUGCUUCCGCCCUUGCUCCAGCUCCAGCCAACCGAGCCGUCUGAAAGCAUGCAAAUGCGAAGAGAUAAAUAGGUACCACUUCGGUGGGACGGUGACGUUUUGCUGACCCCACGAAAGCGGCCAUGUCUUGGGACAGCGUCAGCUCUCUGGCCUUGAAAGUCGUUGCUGUAGUCAGCAACGACUAGCGGAGUAAAAUCUGCAGGGACCCCUUUGUAUCCAGACAAUCCUCGACUUACAACGGUUCGCUCAGUAGACUUUUCGAAGUGACGACGGCCCUGAAAAAAGUGACCUGCGACCGCUUUUCACAUGACCCUUGCAGACACUUGGCAACUGAUUCAUAUUUAUGACGGUUGCUGUGUCCUGGGGUCAUGUGACCUUCCCCCCCCCAGAUAGGGAAAGCCGUGUUACUAACUUAACACCUGCAGUGAUUUACUUAACGACCGUGGCAGGAAAAGUCAUAAAAAAAAAUCAAAUGGCUUGCCAAAGCAUCUCAGGGCAGAACAAAAAAUAACUUGAUGGAAAAAAUUUUUGCUUAGUAGAAUAUAUCUGUGAAAUAGAGUAAGAUUGCAUUUUUUGAAUCAAUAUGUUUAUUUUAUGUAUGAUAAUUAUUCUGUAAUGGAAUGAGAACAAGAAAAUGGAUUGUGCUAAUAGAAGACAUGGUAUUAAUAAAUGAGGAGCUAGUAAAACAAGAAUAGAAUAUACAGUAUUUAGGAAAUGUUUUUUUUUAGAUAUUAUAAUUAUUAUGUUAUGAAAAGAGGGAUAUUGCAGAUACCCGAAGUAUAAAUAUUAGGCUUAUUUAUGGUUAAAUAGAAGAAGGGGACGACAGAGAAUGAGAUGGCUGGACGGAGUCACUGAAGCAGCAGGUGUGAACUUAAAUGGACUCCAGAAGAUGGCAGAGGACAGGAAGACCUGGAGGAACGUUGUCCAUGGGGUCGCGAUGGGUCAGACAUGACUUCGCAAUUAACAACAACAUGGUUAAAUUGAAAUAUGGUAACUGGAAUUUUGUAAAGCUUAAAUACAGGAUUGGGAUUUAUAUAGUUAAAUGGCUACUGAUAAUUUUACUGAUUGACUGAAUUUUACUAGAACUGUAUUAAUCUGAAUAUGGUCUAUGAUUUGUGAGAAUUAGAGAGGGAUUAUUUAACGAGUUAACCUGAGUUAUAUAUAAAUGUUUUGGUUUUUUGAAUAAUUGAUUACCCUAUCACCACAUUGUUUCCUAAGCACCUGGUUGUAAAAAUUGAAAAACUUAGUAAAACUUGUAUUAAAAAAAAAAAAGAAACUCAUCAGGGAGAGAAGCAAGCUGGAACUAAGGAGAAAUUUCCUAACAGUGAGGACAAUUAACCAGUGGA